CACUUUUCACCUCAAACCCAGCCAUACUUUUUUUUCCAAUCAUUUUUGUAUUGAUAUUAUUAUUUUUUUAAAUACACGACAACAGUGGAAUGCAUUAUAAUCCUUAUUACACAUAUAGAGCACAAUUUUUCAUAUCUCUGUAUAUGAUGUAUGUUCACACCAAUUUAUGCCAUUAUACAUGUACUUUUUUGCAUUACAAUCCUUAAUACACAUAUAUACCACAAUUUUUCAUAUCUCUGUUUGUAUAUAAGGUAUGUUGACACCCAAUUCAAGUCUUCAUACAUGUACUUUGUAUAAUGAUGACCAUCACAUUUCACCAUCUUUGCUAGUCCCCUUCCUCCUCCCCUUCCUUUCCACCCCUCUUCCCUAUCUAGAAUUAAUCUAAUCUUCCCAUGUUCUCCCUCCCUACCCCACUAUGAGUCACUCCCCUUAUAUCAGGGGAAACAUUCAGCAUUUGUUUUUUUGGGAUUGGCUAACUUCACUUAGCAUUAUCUUCUCCAACACCAUCCAUUUACUUGCAAAUGCCAUGAUUUUUGUUCUUUUUUAAUGCUGAGUAAUAUUCCAUUGUGUAUAAAUACCACAUUUUUUUUUAUCCAUUCAUCCACUGAGGGACAUCUGGGUUGGCUCCACAGUUUAGCUAUUGUGAAUUGUGCUGCUAUAAACAUUGAUGUGGCUGUGUCCCUGUAGUAUGCUAUUUUUAAGUCCUUUGGGUAUAGUUCGAGAAGAGGAAUAGCUGGGUCAAAUGGUGGUUCCAUUCCCAGAUUUUCAAGGAAUCUCCAUACUGCUUUCCAAAUUGGCUGCACCAAUUUGUAGUCCCACCAGCAAUGUAUGAAUGUACCUUUUCCCCCACAUCCUCACCAACACUUGUUGUUGUUUGUCUUCAUAAUAGCUGCCAUUCUGACUGGAGUGAGAUAAUAUUUUAGAGUAGUUUUGAUUUGCAUUUCUCUGAUUGCUAGAGAUGAUGAGCAUUAUUUCAUAUAUUUGUUGAUUGAUUGUAUAUCCUCUUCUGAGAAGUGUCUCUUCAGAUCCUUGGCCCAUGGGUUAUUUGUUUUUUUGGUGCUUAACUUCUUGUGUUCUUUAUAUACCCUAGAGAUUACUGCUCUAUCUGAUGUGUGAGGGGUAAAAAUUUGCUCCCAGGAUGUAGGCUCUCCGUAUACUUUUAACAGUCAACACUACUCAGUAGUCAUUCAGAGCCCUGAAGCUCUUGUUCCAUUCUUGGUUUUGUCCUGAGAGCUGCAAAACAGGUGGAAGGAGUGAUAAUCACCAGCUCACACUGUUCUCAGUCCUGCAAAUGGCUGAUACCACUGAGAAGGUUCAGGGUCUGAGGGAGAGAGAACCAAGCACCUCCUUUGAUAGAUACCUUGUGCCUUAGAAUGCAUUUGUUUUAUUUGAUAAGGGACUCAUUGGGCUGGGGUUGAGGCUAACAUGUGCAAGGCACUGGGUUCGAUUCUCAGCACCACAUAUAAAUAAGUAAAUAAAAUAUACCAAACAAAAAUAAGUCCCUAAUAAAAAUAUUUUUAUUAAUUUAUUAAAUAUUUUUUUAUUUAAUAACUAAUAAAAAUAUUUUUUAAAAAAUAAAGGACUCGUUUUUUUUUUAUUUAAUAAGGGACUUAUUUUUGUUGGUAUAUUUUACAAGAAAAUGUUU
RNAcentral lists this long non-coding RNA (1645 nucleotides) under Marmota monax (woodchuck). The record is from RNAcentral. Lineage: Eukaryota; Metazoa; Chordata; Mammalia; Rodentia; Sciuridae.